GUUUUCCUUGCCUAUAAAUGCCAUCCACCUCCAUUGCAAUUCUCUUCACCUUUUCUUGAUCUCACAGUCAUCAAUUAAGCAAGUUGAGAGAAUAAAAAUGUGUUGGGUUUUCUUUUGUGAUGAUGAGGAGACAGAAUUGGGUAGGCAGCAAGCUUCUGGAUCAUGUCCCUACUGUGGAGGAAAAGUUCAAGCCAUGGAUGUUGAAAGAAAAUGGAGUUUCUGCUUUUUACCCAUUUGUUACAAGAUCAAGAGAAAGUAUUUUUGCACUUUAUGUGCCAGGCGAUUGGAAUUAUAUCACUAGAAAACCAUGGAGUUCAAGAAGAGCUAUAGCUGGAGCUUUGCCGAUCCAAGAAAUCAGAAGCUUCUAUGGUGAUAAUUUCAAGACCGUGUGUUUCAUCCUCUUCUUUGAAUUUGUUUUAUAUUGUAAAUAUUUUGUUAAACUUUUAAUAUACCCAUUUCAAGUAACUUCAAUUUCUUGUGUUUUGAAUUUCUGGGUUCUUGUUUAAAUUGAUUGUUGGUUCGAAAUUAUGUAAGUUUUUGGAUCUGCUGGUGGAAGAAACAAGGAUCUGAAAUGGGUUUUGUUUGGUGUUAACAAGGAUACUGGUUUAGGAUCAUUCUUUGAUCUGUUUAUCUUUGAAUACAAAUCUGUAAAGCAUUUUCAAAAGUUAAUUACAGAGUUGUGAUAUGAAGCAACCUGAAAUAAAAUCCAAUCCAUGUACUUGAUGAUAGGGGAAGGUAAGAGCUUUGGGCAGAGAGACAGACAGAGAGUGUUCUGUGGGUUACAAAAACAGGGCAGUUUGUCUCAGGAAAACAAAUAUUCCUUGUCUAUGAAAGGGAUCUAUUUC
Molecule: unclassified non-coding RNA, 845 nt
Filed under: Hevea brasiliensis (rubber tree)
Lineage: Eukaryota; Viridiplantae; Streptophyta; Magnoliopsida; Malpighiales; Euphorbiaceae
Source: RNAcentral